GAAGUUUUCAGAGAUGAGAAUGUGCCUUCGGGAACUGUGAGACAGGUGCUGCAUGGCUGUCGUCAGCUCGUGUUGUGAAAUGUUGGGUUAAGUCCCGCAACGAGCGCAACCCUUAUCCUUUGUUGCCAGCGGUCCGGCCGGGAACUCAAAGGAGACUGCCAGUGAUAAACUGGAGGAAGGUGGGGAUGACGUCAAGUCAUCAUGGCCCUUACGACCAGGGCUACACACGUGCUACAAUGGCGCAUACAAAGAGAAGCGACCUCGCGAGAGCAAGCGGACCUCAUAAAGUGCGUCGUAGUCCGGAUUGGAGUCUGCAACUCGACUCCAUGAAGUCGGAAUCGCUAGUAAUCGUGGAUCAGAAUGCCACGGUGAAUACGUUCCCGGGCCUUGUACACACCGCCCGUCACACCAUGGGAGUGGGUUGCAAAAGAAGUAGGUAGCUUAACCUUCGGGAGGGCGCUUACCACUUUGUGAUUCAUGACUGGGGUGAAGUCGUAACAAGGUAACCGUAGGGGAACCUGCGGUUGGAUCAC
This 533-nucleotide ribosomal RNA is filed under the name Escherichia coli. RNAcentral's name for it is "bacterial SSU rRNA". It matches the Rfam family "Bacterial small subunit ribosomal RNA", at positions 993 to 1526 of the family's 1533-position model. Lineage: Bacteria; Pseudomonadati; Pseudomonadota; Gammaproteobacteria; Enterobacterales; Enterobacteriaceae. The record is from RNAcentral.